CGGCAAGCUGAGGGCGUAAGGUGAACGAGAACUAGAAGGCGAGCAAGAAGGCGAGGAGACGAGCUGAGGCCGGCGAGAGGAGGGGGAGCUGAGGCGAGGCAGUGAGCCGCGAGGCAUCAGGGGAGGUGAUCGAGAUACAGAGCCGAGAAGUGAGAACGCGAGAUGGAGAGGAGAGGACGCGAGAUAGAGAGAAGUAGAAAACUAGGU
Rhodamnia argentea is the source of this 207-nucleotide long non-coding RNA. RefSeq lists it as uncharacterized. The transcript has 2 exons. The record is from RefSeq and is a predicted model, not a curated record. Lineage: Eukaryota; Viridiplantae; Streptophyta; Magnoliopsida; Myrtales; Myrtaceae.